CACGUAGGGCGCAAGCGUUGUCCGGAAUUAUUGGGCGUAAAGAGCUCGUAGGCGGUCUGUUGCGUCCGCUGUGAAAACUCGGGGCUUAACCCCGAGCCUGCAGUGGAUACGGGCAGACUAGAGGUAGGUAGGGGAGAAUGGAAUUCCCGGUGUAGCGGUGAAAUGCGCAGAUAUCAGGAGGAACACCGAUUGCGAAGGCAGCUCGCUGGGACGUUACUGACGCUGAGACGCGAAAGCAUGGGGAGCAAACAGG
RNAcentral lists this ribosomal RNA (253 nucleotides) under uncultured bacterium. RNAcentral's name for it is "partial 16S ribosomal RNA". It matches the Rfam family "Bacterial small subunit ribosomal RNA", at positions 524 to 776 of the family's 1533-position model. The record is from RNAcentral.